Molecule: RNase P RNA, 408 nt
Filed under: Magnetococcales bacterium
Lineage: Bacteria; Pseudomonadati; Pseudomonadota; Magnetococcia; Magnetococcales
Description: RNase P RNA component class A
Rfam family: Bacterial RNase P class A
About the family: Ribonuclease P (RNase P) is a ubiquitous endoribonuclease, found in archaea, bacteria and eukarya as well as chloroplasts and mitochondria. Its best characterised activity is the generation of mature 5'-ends of tRNAs by cleaving the 5'-leader elements of precursor-tRNAs.
Source: RNAcentral
AGAGUGGGUUGGAUCGUCGCUGGUAGCAGGCAGCUGCUGCGGGAGGAAAGUCCGGGCUCCAUUGGGCAGGGUGCCGGGUAACGCCCGGCGAGGGUGACCUCAGGGACAGUGCCACAGAAAACAAACCGCCAGACGGAACAUCUCCAAGUAACAAUGGGAUGUUUGAUGGUAAGGGUGAAACGGUGUGGUAAGAGCACACCGCGCGGGCGGUAACGGCCGUGGCAGGGAAAACCCCACCUGGAGCAAGAUCGAAUAGGAGGACGGUUACGGCGGCCCGUCGAGUCCUCGGGUUGAUCGCUUGAGGUAGUCGGUGACGGCUAUCCUAGAUGAAUGACGGUUGCCCGUUGUUGCCGUGCGCAGGCCUGGAAACAACGGAAACAGAACCCGGCUUAUAGACCCACUCUGAAU